GAGGAGGAAGGAAUGGGCAACGGUAGGUCAGCAUGCCCCGAAUUAUCUGGGCUACACGCGGGCUACAAUGGGUGGGACAAUGGGUAUCGACACCGAAAGGUGAAGGCAAUCUCCUAAACCCAUCCGUAAGUUCGGAUUGUGGGCUGCAACUCGCCCACAUGAAGCUGGAAUCUGUAGUAAUCGUGUCUCAAAAUGGCACGGUGAAUAUGUCCCUGCGUCCUU
Molecule: ribosomal RNA, 222 nt
Filed under: uncultured Methanomicrobiales archaeon
Lineage: Archaea; Methanobacteriati; Methanobacteriota; Methanomicrobia; Methanomicrobiales
Description: partial 16S ribosomal RNA
Rfam family: Archaeal small subunit ribosomal RNA
Source: RNAcentral